This 217-nucleotide unclassified non-coding RNA is filed under the name Hevea brasiliensis (rubber tree). Lineage: Eukaryota; Viridiplantae; Streptophyta; Magnoliopsida; Malpighiales; Euphorbiaceae. The record is from RNAcentral.
AUUCGCUGUUUCCAUAAGAGAAGCAGAGACUGGUGAGAGAGUGCGCCGGCGGUGAGUCUUGGAAGGAGAAGGAAAAACAAGCAAAGGGUAUGUAGCAGACUUGUUGAAGAAGAGAGGAGUGAGUAGAGGAUGGUGGUUAUUGCGGCGUUGCUGCCGAUAUUGCAGCGGCACCAGUGCGGUGUUGGAGGCUGCUGUGACCAUUGUUGCACUGUUGUUG